GUGAUGGGACACAAGUAGGGGAUUUUAUUUAUUUUGUAUUCAUUGCCAUGCAUGUCUUAUAGUGUUUUAUUGCUGUGGAUUUUAAUUGCAUGUUUUUACAUUUUAGAAUUUGAUUGUGUUUUUAAUUGCAUGUUUUUACAUUUUAGAAUUUGAUUGUCUUUUUAAUUGCAUGUUUUUACUCCUUGUGGACUUUGCUGGUAUUUUAAGACGUUGCCCCUUUUUAGCUUGUUGCCCCUAACAACCGAAGUGCCCAAUCAAACGACACCUGAAGUUAGACGCACCUGUGGAGCAUUAGGACUGCACCCAUUUAAAAGAGAACAGGCAGGAUCGACGAGGAGGGAAGCGACAGCAGAGCGAUCGGGGAAGAAUCGACAGGCUUUGCCAAGAGCGACCGGGUGGACGCACGCAGGCUGGGAAGGAACCCCCGGACUACACAGCAGACCACGCAGGCCACCGGAGCGAACCCCAAGGAGCCCACAACACGCAGGGGCAGAAGAAACUCUGCCUCCGAAGGGGCGAUUGGGACCCAGAGACCUACAACGACCCCCGGGAGCGACCAAGAGGCGGAGCGAGACGGGACGGGUAUGGCCACGUAGGUCCCGCGAGUGACCGGCGACUGGCGAGGAGAGUGGGCGUACCCAAUACUUCGACGCGGAACUAAAGCAGGGCCAGGGGAAACCCUGCCUUGCGUGUAAGUGUGGCGUCAGCCCGGAGAGCAUCUCCGUAGUUUUAGAAGAUUUUAUCCCCGUGGCCUGCCUCCGUUUUAAUUAUGUGUGCAGGAGGACGCCGUGGAAGUGGGUGGAGCCAGGACGCUGACCCACUACGCCUGUCGCGGCUGUACCCACAUCAUAAAACUGGUUACCAAAUGGUAUUUUUAGUAUUGACAACUGGACAGUUGAAUGUGUAUUGUAAUAAAGUGCGAACAAGCAUAA
This is a long non-coding RNA of Nerophis lumbriciformis (worm pipefish), 932 nucleotides long. RefSeq lists it as uncharacterized. The record is from RefSeq and is a predicted model, not a curated record. NCBI's taxonomy places the organism in Eukaryota, Metazoa, Chordata, Actinopteri, Syngnathiformes, Syngnathidae.